Molecule: ribosomal RNA, 292 nt
Filed under: uncultured bacterium
Lineage: Bacteria
Description: partial 16S ribosomal RNA
Rfam family: Bacterial small subunit ribosomal RNA
Source: RNAcentral
GUGUCAGCCGCCGCGGUAAUACGUAGGGUGCGAGCGUUAAUCGGAAUUACUGGGCGUAAAGCGUGCGCAGGCGGUUCGUUGUGUCCGAUGUGAAAGCCCCGAGCUCAACUUGGGAACGGCAUUGGAAACUGGCGGGCUGGAGUGUGGCAGAGGGGGGUGGAAUUCCACGUGUAGCAGUGAAAUGCGUAGAGAUGUGGAGGAACACCGAUGGCGAAGGCAGCCCCCUGGGCCAACACUGACGCUCAGGCACGAAAGCGUGGGGAGCAAACAGGAUUAGAUACCCCCGUAGUCC